This 513-nucleotide ribosomal RNA is filed under the name uncultured bacterium. Its description in RNAcentral is "bacterial SSU rRNA". It matches the Rfam family "Bacterial small subunit ribosomal RNA", at positions 28 to 531 of the family's 1533-position model. The record is from RNAcentral.
GAUGAACGCUAGCGGCAGGCUUAAUACAUGCAAGUCGAGGGGCAGCGCGGGUAGCAAUACCUGGCGGCGACCGGCAAACGGGUGCGGAACACGUACGCAACCUUCCCAUAACUGGUGAAUAGCCCUCCGAAAGGAGGAUUAAUACACCGUAAGAUAACGAAGAGGCAUCUCUUUGUUAUUAUAGCUACGGCGGUUUUGGAUGGGCGUGCGCCUGAUUAGGUAGUUGGCGGGGUAACGGCCCACCAAGCCUACGAUCAGUAACUGGUGUGAGAGCACGACCAGUCACACGGGCACUGAGACACGGGGCCCGACUCCUACGGGAGGCAGCAGUAAGGAAUAUUGGUCAAAUGGACGCAAGUCUGAACCAGCCAUGCCGCGUGAAGGAUGAAAGGUCCUCUGGAUUGUAAACUUCUUUUAAUCUGGGACGAAAAAAGGGCGUUUCUAGCUCACUUGACGGUACCAGAGGAAUAAGCACCGGCUAACUCCGUGCCAGCAGCCGCGGUAAAGUCGAUA